Long non-coding RNA from Dermochelys coriacea (leatherback sea turtle), 2695 nucleotides. RefSeq lists it as uncharacterized. The transcript is spliced from 3 exons. The record is from RefSeq and is a predicted model, not a curated record. Lineage: Eukaryota; Metazoa; Chordata; Testudines; Dermochelyidae.
UACCUCACUAUUUGUGCCCCACCCCCUUUCCAGAUCAUAAAUAAAUAUUAACAAAUACAAUGCAUAGUUCUGAACCUUAAGGCACCCUGCUGCUGAUCUUUUGUUGUAAUGAAAAUCUACUAUUUAUUCAUACUCUUUGCUCUCUGUUUCCUAGCUAGUUUUUGAUCCAUGACAAUACUUUCACUCUCACCUCAUUACUACUUAGCUUUUUUAGUAACUUCAAAGUAUAGGACUUUGUUAGACACCUUUGGAUGUCUAAAUAAAUGGCAUAUGUCAACUAAUUAGACUCACAGACUAAUAAAUUUUAAGGCCAGAUGGGACCAUCAUGAUCAUCUAAUCUGACCUCCAGCACCUCACAGGCCACAGAACCUCAUGAACCCACUCCUGUAAUAGGCCCUUCAAAUUACAGAGGUCUCCUUCAUCCACUCCUUUGACGUGUUCAAAGACUUCAAAGAGAUUAGUGAGAUGUGAUUUUCCUUUGUGGAGUUCAUGCUGGUUAGAUCCUAUAAGAUCAUGAUCUUCCAGGUGUUUUGUUAUUCUGUUAUACUUACAGAGUCAACCAAUUGGCUGGAUACAGAUGUAAAGCUAUGAGUCUAUAAUUCCCUGGGCUUUUUAAAAUUAUGUGUACAACAUUUCCAAUCUCCCAGUCCUCUGGAACAGUAUAUAUUUUUAAUUAGAAAUUACAAUUUUUUGUUAGCAGUUCAUCUACUUCAUACUUCAGCUCCUUCAGAAUUCUUGGAUGUAUACUCUGGUGAGUUAUUGCAUUUUAAAUAAUUAUUUUCCCAGCCCAUCUUUCUCUGCUACCUCAAUCUGUAAAAAUGCCUCAUUUUUGUUACCAGGCCUAGGGUAGGAAUCUCCUCAACAUCCUCAGUGGUGAAGACUAAUGCAAAGAAAUUAUUUAACUUCUCAUCCACAUCCUUAUCUUCUUAAUUUCUCCCUUUAGCCCAUGGUGACCCAGCAGACCCAUUGAUUCUUUUUCAGGCUUCCUGCUUGAGAUACUUAAAAAAUCUCUUAUUGUUUGUUUUUACAUCGUUAGCUAUUUGCUUUUCAGACUUCAUUUUGGCCCACUAGGAGUAGUGUAAUGUGUAAACCCCGUCCUGCCACAGCUGCCUACAGGUUAAGAAACUAAGUACAUACCACCUUAGCUGCAGCUAAUUGAUGGACCAUCAACAGCUGGGAUAAGAGUCUCCCUCUCAGGCAGAAAGGAGGCUUUCAAGGGGCCUUUGCAUCAGCUACAAAUUGGCAGUAAGUGGCACAAAGCAGUGGAAGGAGGAGUUCUGUGAAUGAGACCUGGAUGAAGCUGACAUCAGUGGCUGCAAGUGCUUCAGAAAUGGCCUUCUGACCAUCACAUUGUGGACUAGUCCUGAUGAGCUUGUCCAGAGGCGGCUUCUUGGAAUUUCGUACCUAUUGUAAGGUGGACCUACAAUGUCAAAUAAAGAAUCCCAUGGAGUGCAGUUGGACUGGAAGAGAACAAACAAUUCAAAACUAGCAUCCCUUUGGGUCAGUCAUAAACUGCAAGUGAACAGAACUUCAUUACAUGGACUGAUUGGAUGAGUGAUGGUAUAAUGAUGCAUGCAGGAGACUUACAAUGCUGUGAAAUUUCCUCCUUUAGUGUAAAAAAAACUCUUCCUGUAAUGUCAAUUUCAUGAGUCUGUGUUCCACUGUAAAUAAUUUUCAGCAACAACAGUGAGGGGACAUCAUAUUUUGUGAGAUGCAGGUGAUUUUUAGGACUAAAAUGAAUGACAUCUCUUGAAAGAGGAAGCUUGAGAGUGAUAUAAUAAAGUUAAAGCUCGUGAUAGGUGAAACUGUAUGCACAGGGGCAAUACGGUAGGAAGUAAGUCUUAGGAACCCAGAUAUUUGCAAAAUGUGUAUCUUUGAAAGGGCCAUUAUUACUUCCUGGGUUGAAAACUUUAUCCAGAGUCCUAUAUUCCUCCUUCUUUUGCCCAUUUAAAAAGUUGCAAGGUGACUGUUUUACCCAAUGUUUGUUUGAAUGUAUAGUGUUGUCGCCUAAUUUAACCUUGAACAGCUGGAACAGUGUCUAUUAGGGAUCACGUUUAGCAUGGGAGAAUGUUCCAUGUUGUUGUUAAGUAUAGAAUGAAUUUGGUAGAAAAAGAAGGAAAAAGUCACGUGCUGCAUGAAAUUUCUUACGCUUUGGUAAAUGCCCUCCAGUAAAUUGAAAAGAAUAUUCAAAGCCAAUUACUAUGGAUGUCAGUUAAAAUAUCCAUUGUCUAGACAAGCUAUCCUCAGUUCACUUCAGAGGGAUCAACGCUUCUCAAGACUGUGUUCUAAAUCCAGGUGCUUUACUGUAGGCCUUUUCUUGCUGUCAUUUCUCAGACAAAACUUCCACUGGCCUCAGCAGCAAUGGCUUCAGUGAGAGCUUUGCUUCAAGAAAGUCUGUGGGAUUAGACCUCAUAUGGUACUUCUAUCUCCCAUAGGAUGUACUAGUUAGUGUUAAAGCAGUUUUACUUAUAUUUCAUUUUAAUUGUACCUACAUCUAUUUUAUUUUUAGCUAGUGGUUUAUAGUAUCCUUAAUUAGCCAUGGAUAUUGUUCUUUGCUUUGAGAUUUCUCUCUUUCUUUCUUAUUUCCAAUGAAUAAGAUGUCUGAAUUAUAAAAGGUAUUUCCCAAUCUCCUGUUGAGAAAUAUGCCAGAGUAUUAAUAUAAAAAAAAGGGGAAGAAAUAAAGGACUUUUUAUGU